GUGAGAUCCUGACCCACCCUGGAACCAACGGAAUUUCUGCCAUUGACCUCAGCAAGUCUCAGACUACACUCCUGAUGUUUGGAUGCUAUAUAUUUUGAUGUUUUUAUAAAAGCUUCCUUGGAAGAUGGAGUAUUUAGUAGACUGAAUAUCACAUUAACACUUCUUGACUGAAAAUUAGAUUUAAUGGACUAGACAACUAUGUCAGGAGAGAGAGAAGAAAUAAAUAGGACUAGAAGACCGAGGCAGUCUGGAAGACAGAACAACAGCCUAACAUAAAAAAUCUGAUGGGCCUCUUAGGAGAAAGAGGUGUCCCCCCAAACACACCAAAAGAAGGGAGUCAUUGUAUGGAAAGUUUUCAUUGAUGUCAUGAAAAAACAGGCAACCAUGUCUCUCUUGUAAAAUACAGUGUGUGCUCAGAAGUUUUACAAUGGGUAGAGGUGUGCCUUUGAUUUGAAUGGACUGGCAUAUAUGAAAAGGAAAAUAAAAU
Molecule: non-coding RNA, 487 nt
Organism: Pelodiscus sinensis (Chinese soft-shelled turtle)
Lineage: Eukaryota; Metazoa; Chordata; Testudines; Trionychidae
Source: RefSeq, a predicted model, not a curated record